AUGAACGCUAGCUAUAGGCUUAACACAUGCAAGUCGAGGGGAAACGGCAUUAUGUGCUUGCCCAUUUUGGACGUCGACCGGCGCACGGGUGAGUAUCGCGUAUCCAACCUGCCCUUUACUUGGGGAUACCCCGUUGAAAGACGGCCUAAUACCCGAUGUAAUUCAUUGAUGGCAUCAGAUAUGAAUAAAAGAUUUAUCGGUAAAGGAUGGGGAUGCGUCUGAUUAGCUUGUUGGUGAGGUAACGGCUCACCAAGGCGACGAUCAGUAGGGGUUCUGAGAGGAAGGUCCCCCACAUUGGAACUGAGACACGGUCCAAACUCCUACGGGAGGCAGCAGUGAGGAAUAUUGGUCAAUGGGCGCAAGCCUGAACCAGCCAAGUAGCGUGCAGGAAGACGGCCCUAUGGGUUGUAAACUGCUUUUAUACGAGAAUAAUUUGAUGCACGUGUGCGUUAUUGCAUGUAUCGUAUGAAUAAGGACCGGCUAAUUCCGUG
Molecule: ribosomal RNA, 491 nt
Filed under: uncultured bacterium
Lineage: Bacteria
Description: partial 16S ribosomal RNA
Rfam family: Bacterial small subunit ribosomal RNA
Source: RNAcentral